UACGGAGGGUGCAAGCAUUAAUCGGAUUUAUUGGGCGUAAAGGGCGCGUAGGCGGAAAUGCAAGUCAGAUGUGAAAUCCCGGGGCUCACCCCCGGAACAGCAUUUGAAACUGCAUUCCUUGAGGGUAGGCGGAGAAAACGGAAUUCCACAAGUAGCGGUGAAAUGCGUAGAUAUGUGGAAGAACACCAGUGGCGAAGGCGGUUUUCUAGCUUAUUCCUGACGCUGAGGCGCGAGAGCAAGGGGAUCAAACAGG
This 253-nucleotide ribosomal RNA is filed under the name uncultured prokaryote. RNAcentral's name for it is "partial 16S ribosomal RNA". It matches the Rfam family "Bacterial small subunit ribosomal RNA", at positions 524 to 776 of the family's 1533-position model. The record is from RNAcentral.